RNAcentral lists this long non-coding RNA (2432 nucleotides) under Homo sapiens (human). RNAcentral's name for it is "HSALNT0365077". The record is from RNAcentral. Lineage: Eukaryota; Metazoa; Chordata; Mammalia; Primates; Hominidae.
AGGAGUUCAAGACCAGCCUGGCCAACAUGGCGAAACCCCCUCCUCUAUUAAAAAUACAAAAAUUGGCUGGGCUUUGUGGUGCGUGCUUGCAAUCUCAGCUACUAGGGAGGCUGAGGCAGGAGAAUCGCCUGAACUCGGGAGACGGAGAUUUCAGUGAGCCGAGAUCAUGCCACUGCCAGCCUGGGUGACAGAGUGAGACUCUGUCUCCAAAAAAAAAAAAAAGAAGAGAAAGAAAAAAAUAUGCCAUUUUAGGCCAGGUGUGGUGGCUCACACCUGUAAUCCCAGCACUUUGGGAGGCUGAGACAGGUGGAUUGCUUGAGCCUAGGAGUUCGAGACCAGCCUGGCAACAUGGCGAAAACUUGUCUCUACAAAAAAUACAAAAAUUAGCCAAGUGUGGUGGUGCACACCUGUGGUCCAAGCUACUCGAGAGACUGAGGUGGGAGGAUUGCUUGAGCCCAGGAGGUUGAGGCUGGGGUGAGUUGAGAUCAUGCCACUGCAGUCCAGCCUGGGCAACAGAGGAAGACCCUGUCUCAAGAAAAAAAAAAAAAAGAAGAAGAAGAAAAGAAAAAAAUGCCACCACUUUAGUAUUACUUUUAUAACAUAAAAUUUACCAUUUAAACUAUUUAUAGGUGUUCAAGUCAGUGGCAUUAAUUACAUUUACAAUGUUGUGCAACCACCGCCACCACUAUUUCUGAAAAUCUUUUCAUCACCCCAAACAGAAAACUCUAUCCAUUAAGCAAUUGUGAAAACUGCCGCUAUGAAUGGGGGUGUACACAUAUCUUUCCAGUCCUUGCUCUCAAUUCUUCUGAGCAAAUAUCCAGAAGUGGAAUUGCUGGGUCACACGGUAAUUCUAUAUUUAAAUUUUGGAGGAACCGCCAAACUGUUUUUUUAUAGUAGUGGCACCAUUUCACAUUCCCACUGGUGACGCCCAGGGUUCCAAUUUCUUCACAGCCUCUCCAACGCUUGUUGUUUUCUGUUAUUUUUUGGUUUUGUUUUAUUUUGUUUUUAACAAUAGUCAUCCUGAGAGUAGUACUUUUAAAACCAGAAAUAAGUAAGAAAAGAAAUAUUCCCCAGAGCUUCUCCAGGCUACAGUCUAUGCCACCAGGAAAGACUGAAUCAUUGAGACCCAUAGGAGAGCGUGUGCUGGGAGGUCCCUGUGGGCACCAGGGAGGUGUGUUUGAACUCCAGCCCAGCCCACAUUAGCUUACCCAACAGUCCCUCAGAGCCAGCACAAUUUCAGGCCAUUAUCUCCCUGGUCACCACUGGCUCCUCAGGUGACUUGGAAGUAGAUGACUCCUCUGUGGGCCUGGGUUAGUGCCUCAAAGGCAUGCUGACCAGCACUGGUUUGGGCCAGGCUGAGAUGCUAGCCACACUCCUAUGCCCAUCCCCAAGUUCAAAGGUCAGAAGUCCUCUGAGAACAUCCAGGGUCACUACCCCUGAGGUCUCUGGUGUACUACGUGGCCCUGAUUAGGGCAAAGGGAAGUGAUCUGAGGGCCACUCUCUUCCUGUACAUACAGGGCCUUGCUGCUCUUGAGGGAUUGUCCUGGCAGGAUCAAAAGCAGCUCCUGCAUGGGGACGCCGUGUCCUCCUGCUGUUAUCAUAGUAUGCCCUGUGCUCCCAGGAGGAGGCUGAGGUAUGUCCUGGGGACAGAAACAACAAGCUUAGGGUUAUUUGGGCACUCCCUUGUCUCCUGUCUGAGAGCGUGCAGGGUGGAGUCAUGCUAUCUUGCUGUGUGAUGACAAGUAGCUGACAAUGCAGGGGCACAAUAAAAACCCCCGAAUGGCCCACAUCUGAGGAGCGAGGGUUUGGUGAGCUGCUGGUUCUGAGAUAAUGGAUUGGUGAUAUGGGAACAAAAGACCUAGGACCUGGAAUCAUAAGAUCACAGGGCAUUAGGGUUGGAGGGAACAACCUUGUCUCUCAGCCCUAAUUCCUUUGAUAUCAUUUAAGGAAUGAUCUUAACUCUAGGCUAACAGCCCUCGAGCUCAGGCACACCAUUUGUUUGUUCAUCAUUGUAUUUGCAGGAUGUGGUAGCUAGCCCUCACAAUGGUGGCUGAUGUGUGAUCAAUAGGCUAUGUCAUGGUAUUUCACUUCUAAGUCUAGAUCAUAAAGGGCAUUGUGGCACCUACCUUGAUUUCUCUUGGAUCACUCAUUCUGAGGGAAGAUAGCUGCCAUGUUGGGAGGACGUGCAAGCAGCCCUGUGAAGAGGUCAACACAGGGGGGAACUGAAGCCCCUUCCAAACAGCUAGCACCAACUUGCCAGCCAUGUAAAGUGAUUCACCUUGGAAACAGAUCCUCCAGCCUCAGCCAAGCCUUCAGAUGCAACCUCAUGACAGACUCUGAACCAGAAACACACAGCCAAGCUGCUGACCCACAGACUUUUACAGGUCUCCUGCCCUCAACUCUGCCUGACGUUCAAGAGAAUAAACUUCCAG